This 2266-nucleotide ribosomal RNA is filed under the name marine metagenome. Its description in RNAcentral is "bacterial LSU rRNA". It matches the Rfam family "Bacterial large subunit ribosomal RNA", at positions 14 to 2311 of the family's 2925-position model. The record is from RNAcentral.
AGGGCACACAGGGAAUGCCUAGGCUCUCAGAGGCGAAGAAAGACGUGAUAAGCUGCGAUAAGCUACGAUGAGGGGCAAAUACCUUAUGAUUCGUAGAUUUCUGAAUGGGGAAACCUGAUAUGUUGAAGACAUAUCACCACGCUUGCGUGGGGCAAACGCGCUGAACUGAAACAUCUAAGUAGGCGUAGGAGAAGAAAACAAUAGUGAUUUCCGUAGUAGCGGCGAGCGAAGUGGAAAUAGCCCAAACCAGUGUUGUUUCGGCAACAUUGGGGUUGUAGGACUGGGAUAUUUGUUUGAAUGGUUAGUGGAACAAUUUGGAAAGAUUGGCAAUAUAGGGUGAUAGCCCCGUACACGAAAAUUGUUUAAACGAUACCAGUAUCCUGAGUAGGGCGGGACAUGUGAAAUCCUGUCUGAAUCCACCAGAACCAUCUGGUAAGGCUAAAUACUCCUGAGAGACCGAUAGCGAACGAGUACCGUGAGGGAAAGGUGAAAAGAACCCUGAAUAAGGGAGUGAAAAAGAUCCUGAAACUGUGUGUCUACAAGCGGUCGAAGCCUACGGGCGACGGCGUGCCUUUUGCAUAAUGAUCCUACGAGUUACUCCUCAUUGGCAAGGUUAAGAAUUUAAGGUUCGAAGCCGAAGCGAAAGCAAGUCUGAAUAGGGCGAUUUAGUCAGUGGGGGUAGACGCGAAACCUUGUGAUCUACCCAUGACCAGGUUGAAGUUCCAGUAACAUGGAAUGGAGGACCGAACCAAUAUACGUUGAAAAGUGUUUGGAUGAGUUGUGGGUAGGGGUGAAAGGCCAAUCAAACUGGGAAAUAGCUCGUACUCCCCGAAAUGCAUUUAGGUGCAGCGUUGAGGUAGAGUUUUAUAGAGGUAGAGCUACUGAUUGGACUAGGGGGCUUCACCGCCUACCAAAUCCUGACAAACUCCGAAUGCUAUAAAAUAUACUGAGCAGUGAGGGCAUGGGUGCUAAGGUCCAUGUCCGAGAGGGAAAGAACCCAGACCAUCAGCUAAGGUCCCCAAAUAUAUACUAAGUUGUUUAAACGUUGUGCGAUUGCAUAGACAGCUAGGAUGUUGGCUUGGAAGCAGCCAUUCAUUUAAAGAGUGCGUAACAGCUCACUAGUCGAGCGAUCGUGCGUGGAUAAUAAUCGGGCAUUAAGUGUAUUACCGAAGCUGUGGAUUUAAUAUUUAUAUUAUCUGGUAGGGGAGCAUUCUAUGGGCGUUGAAUGUGGGUGGCGAUGCCCACUGGAGCGCAUAGAAAAGCAAAUGUAGGAAUAAGUAACGAUAAUGCGGGCGAGAAACCCGCACACCAAUAGACUAAGGUUUCCGCAGCUAUGCUAAUCAGCUGCGGGUUAGUCGGGACCUAACGCGAACCCGAAGGGGGUAGUGGAUGGACAAUGGGUUAAUAUUCCCAUACUUGUUAUAACUGCGAUGUGGUGACGGAGUGAUGAACGGACCGCGCACAGACGGAAUUGUGCGUUGAAGGGUGUAGAUAUUGGGACUGUAGGUAAAUCCGCAGACCUAGUCGAACCUGAUAGUACCAAGCGGCUUCGGCCAAUUGGAUAGUGUCCCUAAGGGCUUCCAAGAAAACCCACUAAGCUUCAGGUUAUAACAACUCGUACCUCAAACCGACACAGGUAGUCAAGUAGAGAAUACUAAGGUGCUCGAGUGAUUCAUGGCUAAGGAACUAGGCAAAAUGGUCUCGUAACUUCGGGAGAAGAGACGCCACACUUCGGUGUGGCCGCAGUGAAUAGGCCCAGGCGACUGUUUAUCAAAAACACAUGGCUUUGCAAAAACGAAAGUUGACGUAUAAGGCCUGACACCUGCCCGGUGCUGGAAGGUUAAGAGGAGAUGUUAGAUUUAUCGAAGCAUUGAAUUGAAGCCCCAGUAAACGGCGGCCGUAACUAUAACGGUCCUAAGGUAGCGAAAUUCCUUGUCGGGUAAGUUCCGACCUGCACGAAUGGUGUAACGAUCUGGGCACUGUCUCAGCCAUGAGCUCGGUGAAAUUGUAGUAUCGGUGAAGAUGCCGAUUACCCGCAACGGGACGGAAAGACCCCGUGAACCUUUACUAUAGCUUCACAUUGGUAUUGGGUAAUUCAUGUGUAGGAUAGGUGGGAGACUUUGAUGCUGCGUCGCUAGGCGUGGUUUAGUCGUCCUUGAAAUACCACCCUUGAAUUAUCUGGUGCCUAAUCCCGUCUAACGGGAGACAUUGUGUGGUGGGUAGUUUGACUGGGGUGGUCGCCUCCAAAAGAGUAACGGAGGCUUCU